UCCUUGGUGAUUCAUAAUAACUUAACGAAUCGCAUGGCCUUGCGCCGGCGAUGGUUCAUUCAAAUUUCUGCCCUAUCAACUUUCGAUGGUAAGAUAGAGGCUUACCAUGGUCUUAACGGGUAACGGGGAAUUAGGGUUCUAUUCCGGAGAGGGAGCCUGAGAAACGGCUACCACAUCCAAGGAAGGCAGCAGGCGCGCAAAUUACCCAAUGCUAAUUCAGCGAGGUAGUGACAAUAAAUACUGAUACGGGGCUCUUUCGGGUCUCGUAAUUGGAAUGAGUACAAUCUAAAUCCCUUAACGAGGAACAAUUGGAGGGCAAGUCUGGUGCCAGCAGCCGCGGUAAUUCCAGCUCCAAUAGCGUAUACGCAUUUUGCUGUAGUUGAAAAGCUCGUAGUCAAGCUUUUGACCCAUCUAGCUGGUCUCGCCGCAAGGUGAGCACUGGUUCAGUGUGGUCUUUCCUUCUGCGGACCCAUGUGCCCUUAACUGGGCGCUGUGGUGAAGUAGGACUUUUACUUUGAAGAAAUUAGAGUGUUCAAAGCAGGCUUCGGCUUGAAUAGGUUAGCAUGGAAUAAUAGAAUAGGACCUCGGUUCUAUUUUGUUGGUUUCUAGGACCCUGGUAAUGAUGAAUAGAGACAGUUGGGGGCAUUAGUAUUUGAUCGCUAGAGGUGAAAUUCUUGGAUUGAGCAAAGACUGACUUCUGCGAAAGCAUUUGCCAAGGAUGUUUUCAUUGAUCAAUGAACGAAAGUAAGGGGAUCGAAGACGAUUAGAUACCGUCGUAGUCUUUACCAUAAACUAUGCCAACUAGGGAUCGGAGGGCGGUUUUUUUAUGCCCCCUUCGGCACCUUGCGAGAAAUCAAAGUUUUUGGGCUCGGGGGGGAGUAUGGUCGCAAGGCUGA
This 896-nucleotide ribosomal RNA is filed under the name uncultured Chaetothyriales. Its description in RNAcentral is "bacterial SSU rRNA". It matches the Rfam family "Eukaryotic small subunit ribosomal RNA", at positions 240 to 1140 of the family's 1831-position model. The record is from RNAcentral. Lineage: Eukaryota; Fungi; Ascomycota; Eurotiomycetes; Chaetothyriales.